Molecule: transfer RNA, 73 nt
Filed under: Cranoglanis bouderius
Lineage: Eukaryota; Metazoa; Chordata; Actinopteri; Siluriformes; Cranoglanididae
Description: tRNA-Asp
Source: RNAcentral
GAGAUACUAGUAAAAUCAUAUAUUACCCUGUUUUGUCAAGACAAAAUUGCAGGUUAGACCCCUGCGUAUCUUA